Molecule: long non-coding RNA, 501 nt
Filed under: Medicago truncatula (barrel medic)
Lineage: Eukaryota; Viridiplantae; Streptophyta; Magnoliopsida; Fabales; Fabaceae
Description: lncRNA gene32600
Source: RNAcentral
UUUUUUUUGGAGUAUAGUUCUAUAAUCCAUUGUGUGCAAGAGAAGGAUAAUAAGAUUGGAGAACCUACUAAAGAUUGUUAUUUGAAUGACAUUUUGAAUACACUAAUCCCAAUUGUGUAUUUGGCAUUGAAUUUGAGGCAAUAUAGACUUAUUAGCUUUGCAAUGCUUCCCUAUAAAGCAAUGUCAAAGAUCAUUGCCAAUAGGAUGAAAUCCAUUGUGGAGUGGAAGGUGUGAUGAUUGAUGAGUGUUAACCAAUCAUAUUUUGUGCAUGAUGAUGUAAUAGCUUUUACAACAUAAUAGUUAAUCAAGAGGUUAUGAGAUUGAAGAGGGUAAUAAGUAUUCACAUGGAGAUCGAUUUUGAAAAGGUAUUUGAUCUAUAGGAUAAGAUGGAUGUUUGUAAAGGUUUUGGACACGCCUAUUAAGUUGAAAUUAUCAUCAUUGAACUGUGAUAUCUACAAGUUUUGUCAAAAUUGUUUAAAUGAAAUGAGUUUACUUGAAUGA